GUGAAUCAUCGAAUCUUUGAACGCACAUUGCGCCCGCCAGUAUUCUGGCGGGCAUGCCUGUCUGAGCGUCAUUUCAACCCUCAAGCAACUUCUGCUUGGUGUUGGGGAUCGGCCGUCAAACGCCGCCCCCGAAAUCUAUUGGCGAUCUCGCUGUAGCUUCCUAUGCGUAGUAGUAACAUCUCGCAUCUGGAGAGCGGCGCGGUCAUGCCGUAAAACACCCAACUUUUCAGGUUGACCUCAGAUCAGGUAGGAAUACCCGCUGAACUUAAGCAUAUCAAUAAGCGGAGGA
Molecule: unclassified non-coding RNA, 289 nt
Filed under: Hypocreales sp.
Lineage: Eukaryota; Fungi; Ascomycota; Sordariomycetes; Hypocreales
Description: partial contains 5.8S ribosomal RNA, internal transcribed spacer 2, and large subunit ribosomal RNA
Rfam family: 5.8S ribosomal RNA (bases 1-71)
Source: RNAcentral